RNAcentral lists this ribosomal RNA (511 nucleotides) under uncultured bacterium. RNAcentral's name for it is "bacterial SSU rRNA". It matches the Rfam family "Bacterial small subunit ribosomal RNA", at positions 791 to 1299 of the family's 1533-position model. The record is from RNAcentral.
UAGUCCACGCCGUAAACGAUGAAUACUAGAUGUCGGGGUCCGACAGGACUUCGGUGCCGCAGCUAACGCAUUAAGUAUUCCACCUGGGGAGUACGAUCGCAAGAUUGAAACUCAAAGGAAUUGACGGGGGCCCGCACAAGCGGUGGAGCAUGUGGUUUAAUUCGAAGCAACGCGAAGAACCUUACCAAAUCUUGACAUCCCAUUGACCGUUCCGUAAUAGGAGCUUUCCUUUCGGGGACAAUGGAGACAGGUGGUGCAUGGUUGUCGUCAGCUCGUGUCGUGAGAUGUUGGGUUAAGUCCCGCAACGAGCGCAACCCUUAUCCUUAGUAGCCAGCAAGUAAUGUUGGGGACUCUAGGGAGACUGCCGGGGAUAACUCGGAGGAAGGUGGGGAUGACGUCAAAUCAUCAUGCCCCUUAUGAUUUGGGCUACACACGUGCUACAAUGGUGGUGACAGUGGGCAGCGAGAUCGCAAGAUCGAGCUAAUCUCCAAAAACCAUCUCAGUUCGGAUU